AAAGCGCCUGUAGGUUGUUUAGUAAGUCUGUUGUUAAAGACCAGGGCUUAACCCUGGGAAAGCAAUGGAAACUACUAGACUUGAGUAUGGCAGGGGUAGAGGGAAUUUCUAGUGUAGCGGUGAAAUGCGUAGAUAUUAGAAAGAACACCGGCGGCGAAAGCGCUCUACUGGACCAUUACUGACACUCAGAGGCGAAAGCUAGGGGAGCAAAAGGGAUUAGAUACCCCUGUAGUCCUAGCCGUAAACGAUGGAUACUAGAUGUUGCGCAAUUUGUGCUGUAUCUUAGCUAACGCGUUAAGUAUCCCGCCUGGGGAGUACGCUCGCAAGGGUGAAACUCAAAGGAAUUGACGGGGGCCCGCACAAGCGGUGGAGCAUGUGGUUUAAUUCGAUGCAACGCGAAGAACCUUACCAGGGCUUGACAUACUACAAAUCUUUUCGAAACGAAAGAGUGCCUUCGGGAAUGUAGAUACAGGUGGUGCAUGGCUGUCGUCAGCUCGUGUCGUGAGAUGUUGGGUUAAGUCCCGCAACGAGCGCAACCCUCAUUUUUAGUUGCCAAUUUAUUGGGAUUUCUAGAGAGACUGCCGGUGACAAACCGGAGGAAGGUGAGGAUGACGUCAAGUCAGCAUGCCCCUUAUGCCCUGGGCCACACACGUGCUACAAUGGC
Molecule: ribosomal RNA, 664 nt
Filed under: Emiliania huxleyi
Lineage: Eukaryota; Haptophyta; Isochrysidales; Noelaerhabdaceae
Description: bacterial SSU rRNA
Rfam family: Bacterial small subunit ribosomal RNA
Source: RNAcentral